AUGGCCCCCCCCGGAGCGCUGCACGUCCUCCAGGUGAUCCCGCCGCUCUUCGCGACUCUAUGGUUACUGGCUGCUCCCCCUCCCGCCGGCGCAUGCGCGUUUGAGUUCGACCCCGUCGGGAGCGGUUUCGGGGCCCGGCUCGAUGCGUUGAGCGCCCCCUGCCGGCACCUGUGGGCAUUGCACUUUGGGGUGGCAGCAUUGAGGCACAUGGCGGGGGCUGCGGGGGGGGAUCUGUCAGCUCUUAUCAGCGACGCCGCCGCCCAGCUCAGCUUCAUCGACGAGUGUCACA
Molecule: long non-coding RNA, 289 nt
Filed under: Coturnix japonica (Japanese quail)
Lineage: Eukaryota; Metazoa; Chordata; Aves; Galliformes; Phasianidae
Description: lncRNA (ENSCJPG00005001606.1)
Source: RNAcentral